AGAGAGAGACAUGCGCGCAUAUCAAUAAGCGGAGGAAAAGAAACUAACAAGGAUUCCCCUAGUAACGGCGAGUGAAGCGGGAAGAGCUCAAAUUUGAAAUCUUAAAGGGUUUCCCUUUACGAAUUGUAGUUUAAAGAAGUGUUUUCUGUUGAGGUUUUGGUAAAAGUUCUUUGGAAUAGGACAUCAUAGAGGGUGAGAAUCCCGUAUUUGACCUUUACUUUCAACUUUGUGAUACACUUUCAAAGAGUCGGAUUGUUUGGGAAUGCAGUCCAAAAUGGGUGGUAAAUUUCAUCUAAAGCUAAAUAUUGGCGAGAGACCGAUAGCGAACAAGUACCGUGAGGGAAAGAUGAAAAGAACUUUGAAAAGAGAGUUAAACAGUACGUGAAAUUGUCAAAAGGGAAGCGUUUGACACCAGUGUUGUUUUUCUGAAAAUCAAUUAAAGAACUGUUUAUGCUAAGUUGUUUAGACUUUAUCAGCUAACUGUUUAGUUUUGAGCUCUUCUUUAAUGCACUUUUCAGUUAACAAGUCAACAUCAAUUUCUUUUGCUGUAAAAAAGCUUGAGGAAGGUGGCUUGAGAUUCGUCUUAAGUGUUUAUAGCCUCUUGCCUAUGCAGUCGGAGAGAUUGAGGUCUGCAGCGUAGAUCCUUCGGGGCUAAAUGCAUUUGUGCUAAGUUAUAGCAUUUUAUAGACAACUUGUUGACUAUGAUUUGUCUUGUAGCUUACUCGCUUAUGUUAUUUUACCUACGCUUAGGAUGUUGACGCAUGAGAUAUACG
RNAcentral lists this ribosomal RNA (773 nucleotides) under uncultured Neocallimastigales. Its description in RNAcentral is "partial large subunit ribosomal RNA". It matches the Rfam family "Eukaryotic large subunit ribosomal RNA", at positions 23 to 646 of the family's 3401-position model. The record is from RNAcentral. Lineage: Eukaryota; Fungi; Neocallimastigomycota; Neocallimastigomycetes; Neocallimastigales.